This 253-nucleotide ribosomal RNA is filed under the name uncultured bacterium. Its description in RNAcentral is "partial 16S ribosomal RNA". It matches the Rfam family "Bacterial small subunit ribosomal RNA", at positions 524 to 776 of the family's 1533-position model. The record is from RNAcentral.
CACGUAGGGCGCAAGCGUUGUCCGGAAUUAUUGGGCGUAAAGAGCUCGUAGGCGGUCUGUUACGUCUGCUGUGAAAACCCUGGGCUUAACCCUGGGCUUGCAGUGGAUACGGGCAGACUAGAGGCAGGUAGGGGAGAAUGGAAUUCCCGGUGUAGCGGUGAAAUGCGCAGAUAUCAGGAGGAACACCAGUGGCGAAGGCGGUGCUCUGGGCCGGAACUGACGCUGAGGAGCGAAAGCGUGGGGAGCAAACAGG